This 253-nucleotide ribosomal RNA is filed under the name uncultured bacterium. RNAcentral's name for it is "partial 16S ribosomal RNA". It matches the Rfam family "Bacterial small subunit ribosomal RNA", at positions 524 to 776 of the family's 1533-position model. The record is from RNAcentral.
UACGUAGGGUGCAGGCGUUAAUCGGAAUUACUGGGCGUAAAGCGUGCGCAGGCGGUUGUGCAAGACAGAUGUGAAAUCCCCGGGCUCAACCUGGGAAUUGCAUUUGUGACUGCACGGCUAGAGUGUGUCAGAGGGGGGUAGAAUUCCACGUGUAGCAGUGAAAUGCGUAGAGAUGUGGAGGAAUACCGAUGGCGAAGGCAGCCCCCUUGGAUAACACUGACGCUCAUGCACGAAAGCGUGGGGAGCAAACAGG